CAGAACAGCGUGAAUCAUGUGUGUAAAUGUACUAAAAACCACAAAAAAUAAACCUGGCCUCAGUCACAUGCUCAUCCCAUAUGAAGUAACCGCUGCUCACGUCACCCGCUCGCGUCAUCAGCUGAUGGCCUCGUCCAAUCACAGCCUCGUAAACACAGUGCAGCAGCGUCGAGUGUCCCGCAGACAGGAAGCGCGUCGUGUUUAGCUUGUCCCGUACGAGUGACUCUGUUUUCGGGGUAAAUAACUUGCUGAAGUCGACACGACGCUGUUCCCUGGAGGAGAAGAUGAGUGCGUGGGAAGCAGAGCCGCGGGCCCGGUGUGGACGAGUCGAAGCGGAGAAGACGGAAGCACAGUCCCUGAGUUAAGCCUCACUGAAUGUGUUUACAGCUGAUUGAAGCGGGACAGAUGACAUGGAUCCAUCCUUCCACAGCCAGGAGCGCACCGACCUGUGUCCCACACUUCAUAUAAGACUGGAAGCUACACUGAUCUCACAGCUACACACCACAGACGUCUACACACUGGAGAAGAGUCCCACAAAGAAGUCAUGACCCAGAGGCUGCAGAGAAACAUUUCAAGCCUCAUCUGAGUUUUUGUACAAUAUUUUUGCUGUAUGUAAAUAAAGCUUUCACUCCACAUA
Long non-coding RNA from Limanda limanda (common dab), 637 nucleotides. RefSeq lists it as uncharacterized. The transcript is spliced from 2 exons. NCBI's taxonomy places the organism in Eukaryota, Metazoa, Chordata, Actinopteri, Pleuronectiformes, Pleuronectidae. The record is from RefSeq and is a predicted model, not a curated record.